RNAcentral lists this ribosomal RNA (1385 nucleotides) under uncultured bacterium. Its description in RNAcentral is "16S ribosomal RNA". It matches the Rfam family "Bacterial small subunit ribosomal RNA". The record is from RNAcentral.
AGAGUUUGAUCCUGGCUCAGGAUGAACGCUGGCGGCAUGCCUAAUACAUGCAAGUCGAACGAGGGUCCUUCGGGACUCGAGUGGCGAACGGGUGAGUAACACGUAGGGAACCUGCCCGUGCGACCGGGAGAACUUUCGGAAACGGAAGCUGAUACCGGAUAGGGACAGAGACGGCAUCGACUCUGUGUUAAAGGAGCUGAAAGGCUCCGCGCACGGAUGGACCUGCGGUGCAUUAGCUAGUUGGUGAGGUAACGGCCCACCAAGGCGACGAUGCAUAGCCGGCCUGAGAGGGCGGACGGCCACACUGGGACUGAGACACGGCCCAGACUCCUACGGGAGGCAGCAGUAGGGAAUUUUCGUCAAUGGGCGCAAGCCUGAACGAGCAAUGCCGCGUGAACGAGGAAGGUCUUCGGAUCGUAAAGUUCUGUUGAAGGGGAAAAAGAGCGGAGAGAGGAAAUGAACUCCGAUUGAUAUUACCCUUCGAGGAAGUCACGGCUAACUACGUGCCAGCAGCCGCGGUAAUACGUAGGUGGCGAGCGUUAUCCGGAAUGAUUGGGCGUAAAGGGUGCGUAGGCGGCCUGCUAAGUCUGGAGUGAAAGGUACCGGCUCAACCGGUACAGGCUCUGGAAACUGGCGGGCUAGAGAGCAGGAGAGGGCGGUGGAACUCCAUGUGUAGCGAUAAAAUGCGUAGAUAUAUGGAAGAACACCAGUGGCGAAGGCGGCCGCCUGGCCUGUUACUGACGCUGAGGCACGAAAGCGUGGGGAGCAAAUAGGAUUAGAUACCCUAGUAGUCCACGCCGUAAACGAUGAGGACCAAGUGUUGGGGAAGACCCAGUGCUGCAGUUAACGCAGUGAGUCCUCCGCCUGGGGAGUAUGCACGCAAGUGUGAAACUCAAAGGAAUUGACGGGGGCCCGCACAAGCGGUGGAGUAUGUGGUUUAAUUCGAAGCGACGCGAAGAACCUUACCAGGCCUUGACAUAGGGUGCGAAGCUAUGGAGACAUAGUGGAGGUAAACAUCCAUACAGGUGGUGCAUGGUUGUCGUCAGCUCGUGUCGUGAGAUGUUCAGUUAAGUCUGGCAACGAGCGCAACCCUCGUGAUGUGUUACCAAUAUCGAGUUAGGGACUCACAUCAGACUGCCGGUGAGAAACCGGAGGAAGGCGGGGAUGACGUCAAAUCAUCAUGCCCCUUAUGGCCUGGGCUACACACGUACUACAAUGGCGGCGACAGAGGGCAGCGAGCCUGCGAAGGCAAGCGAAUCCCCAAAAAGCCGUCCCAGUUCGGAUUGGAGUCUGCAACCCGACUCCAUGAAGUUGGAAUCGCUAGUAAUCGCGGAUCAGCAUGCCGCGGUGAAUACGUUCUCGGGCCUUGCACACACCGCCCGUCA